This 356-nucleotide transfer-messenger RNA is filed under the name Clostridiaceae bacterium. It matches the Rfam family "transfer-messenger RNA". Rfam says of the family: Bacterial tmRNA, also known as 10Sa RNA or SsrA, is named for its dual tRNA and mRNA-like properties. Its role is to liberate the mRNA from a stalled ribosome. The record is from RNAcentral. Lineage: Bacteria; Bacillati; Bacillota; Clostridia; Eubacteriales; Clostridiaceae.
GGGGGCGUUAAGGUUUCGACGGGAUUGUUGAAGCCGGAGAAGCGGGUAGUGGAUUCUCGUAGGCCACUUUAAAAAACGGGAAACAAAUUUAAACGCUAACAAUAAUAGCAAUUUAGCUUACGCAGCCUAAUUAAGGCAGCCGUCCUACCUUAGAACACCACGGCUUUGGAUAGGGCGUCGACAGUGGUGAACGUGACACGAUAAAGCUUUGAGUCGUGCAUGACAAAUGAAGCUACUGAAGCUGCAAGCCUGUUCAUGGGCGUGCAGGAGAGGGAAUGAAAAACCAUGAACUGCACCCGGAGAUGCUCUUGUGAAUACGGUUUCGGACGCGGGUUCAAUUCCCGCCGCCUCCACCA